This 468-nucleotide ribosomal RNA is filed under the name uncultured bacterium. RNAcentral describes it as "partial 16S ribosomal RNA". It matches the Rfam family "Bacterial small subunit ribosomal RNA", at positions 28 to 508 of the family's 1533-position model. The record is from RNAcentral.
GAUGAACGCUGGCGGCGCGCCUAACACAUGCAAGUCGAACGAUUAAAGCACCUUCGGGUGUGUAUAAAGUGGCGAACGGCUGAGUAACACGUGGGCAACCUGCCCCUUUCAUUGGGAUAGCCACGGGAAACCGUGGAUAAUACCGAAUACUUCGAGACUUCCGCAUGGAAGACUCGAGAAAGCUCCGGCGGAGAGGGAUGGGCCCGCGGCCUGUUAGCUUGUUGGUGGGGUAACGGCCUACCAAGGCAAUGAUGGGUAGCUGGGUUGAGAGACCGACCAGCCAGAUUGGGACUGAGACACGGCCCAGACUCCUACGGGAGGCAGCAGUGGGGAAUCUUGCACAAUGGGCGAAAGCCUGAUGCAGCGACGCCGCGUGCGGGAUGAAGGCCUUCGGGUUGUAAACCGCUUUCAGCAGGGACGAGGCGAAAGUGACGGUACCUGCAGAAGAAGCCCCGGCUAACUACGUGC